UGGACACAGUAGCCUAGUGGUU
RNAcentral lists this microRNA (22 nucleotides) under Schistosoma japonicum. Its description in RNAcentral is "miRNA-3095". The record is from RNAcentral. Lineage: Eukaryota; Metazoa; Platyhelminthes; Trematoda; Strigeidida; Schistosomatidae.